RNAcentral lists this ribosomal RNA (205 nucleotides) under Triticum aestivum (bread wheat). RNAcentral describes it as "partial small subunit ribosomal RNA". The record is from RNAcentral. Lineage: Eukaryota; Viridiplantae; Streptophyta; Magnoliopsida; Poales; Poaceae.
GCAUUCCGGGCAGCAGCGGAUGACGGAGGGCAGGCACAGGGCGUCGGGGGCGACGCGGCAGGCGCGGUGAGGGGCGCCGCUGCGGGAGAGGGGACGGGGCGCGAGGAUGAGGGAGGGGCCGACGAGGUGGCUCCGGGCGAUGGCCACGGGGUCAGCCCCGAUCCGAUCUGGAUCGGGGGGAAGAGGGAGAGACGAGGAAGUGGGG